CUUGACCGAGCCCAGCCAGAGCGGCCGGUCGUCGGGGCGGUCCUGGCCGUACGUGGCGAGCAGCGCGUUGGCCUC
Molecule: non-coding RNA, 75 nt
Organism: Streptomyces sp. Ncost-T6T-2b
Lineage: Bacteria; Bacillati; Actinomycetota; Actinomycetes; Kitasatosporales; Streptomycetaceae
Source: Rfam